RNAcentral lists this unclassified non-coding RNA (221 nucleotides) under Hevea brasiliensis (rubber tree). The record is from RNAcentral. Lineage: Eukaryota; Viridiplantae; Streptophyta; Magnoliopsida; Malpighiales; Euphorbiaceae.
GAGAAUGGGAGAAAGUGAUGGAAUCUGGGCUUGGACACGUUUCAAUCAACUUUUUAACUAUCUUCCACUGGCUGCUCUCAUCGAAAAGAAAAUCAUCUGCAUGCAUGGUGGCAUAGGGAGGUCAAUAAAUUCAGUUGAGCAGAUAGAGAAGAUAGAGAGGCCAAUAACAAUGGAUGCUGGUUCGAUAAUCCUAAUGGAUUUGCUAUGGUCUGAUCCCACAG